RNAcentral lists this ribosomal RNA (486 nucleotides) under uncultured bacterium. RNAcentral describes it as "partial 16S ribosomal RNA". It matches the Rfam family "Bacterial small subunit ribosomal RNA", at positions 30 to 507 of the family's 1533-position model. The record is from RNAcentral.
AUUGAACGCUGGCGGCAUGCCUUACACAUGCAAGUCGAACGGCAGCACGGGUGCUUGCACCUGGUGGCGAGUGGCGAACGGGUGAGUAAUACAUCGGAACAUGUCCUGUAGUGGGGGAUAGCCCGGCGAAAGCCGGAUUAAUACCGCAUACGAUCUACGGAUGAAAGCGGGGGACCUUCUGGCCUCGCGCUAUAGGGUUGGCCGAUGGCUGAUUAGCUAGUUGGUGGGGUAAAGGCCUACCAAGGCGACGAUCAGUAGCUGGUCUGAGAGGACGACCAGCCACACUGGGACUGAGACACGGCCCAGACUCCUACGGGAGGCAGCAGUGGGGAAUUUUGGACAAUGGGCGAAAGCCUGAUCCAGCAAUGCCGCGUGUGUGAAGAAGGCCUUCGGGUUGUAAAGCACUUUUGUCCGGAAAGAAAUCCUUGGCCCUAAUACGGUCGGGGGAUGACGGUACCGGAAGAAUAAGCACCGGCUAACUACGUG